This 502-nucleotide ribosomal RNA is filed under the name uncultured bacterium. Its description in RNAcentral is "partial 16S ribosomal RNA". It matches the Rfam family "Bacterial small subunit ribosomal RNA", at positions 28 to 507 of the family's 1533-position model. The record is from RNAcentral.
GAUUAACGCUGGCGGCGUGCCUAACACAUGCGAGUCGAGCGGCAGCGAGUUUUACACUGCUUUCUGGAAGCUCCUAGUUGAAAGAGAAGAUUUAUUCAAGAAUUUUGUGUAAAAUGUCGGCGAGCGGCGGACGGCUGAGUAACGCGUGGGAACGUACCCCAAAGUGAGGGAUAACGCACCGAAAGGUGUGCUAAUACCGCAUAUGGUCUUCGGAUUAAAGCCUUCGGGCGCUUUGGGAACGGCCUGCGUAAGAUUAGAUAGUUGGUGGGGUAAUGGCCUACCAAGUCGACGAUCUUUAACUGGUUUGAGAGGAUGAUCAGUCAGACUGGAACUGAGACACGGUCCAGACUCCUACGGGAGGCAGCAGUGAGGAAUCUUCCACAAUGGGCGAAAGCCUGAUGGAGCAACGCCGCGUGCAGGAUGAAGGCCUUCGGGUUGUAAACUGCUUUUAUAAGUGAGGAUUAUGACAGUAACUUAUGAAUAAGGAUCGGCUAACUACGUG